This 2557-nucleotide long non-coding RNA is filed under the name Homo sapiens (human). RNAcentral's name for it is "HSALNT0398573". The record is from RNAcentral. Lineage: Eukaryota; Metazoa; Chordata; Mammalia; Primates; Hominidae.
GACCCUGUAAGUGGCUGCGGCGGGAAGAUGGCGGAGCUGCGCGUGCUCGUAGCUGUCAAGAGGGUCAUCGACUACGCCGUGAAGGUGAUCGGGCCCCCCUCUCCCACAUCCCUGAGUCCCGCAGCCGUGUGCUUCCGGGGCCACGAGCGCACACUGGGUGGGGGUCUUCUCGUAACCCCCGACCUCUGCCGCUUUAACCCCCAAACGUCAAAGUCACCUGAGGGCAAAAAUCCAAGAGUGAAGUUCUAACAUCCGAUCCCUCCGGGGUCACGGCCAUGUUCUCUUUUCCCUCGUUCUGGAUUCACUCUCUUGAUAACUGUUCAGAGUGAGUUGCUUUCUCUAUUUCUUACCCACUGGAAGAAGUCACGGUCCCUGUUUAAUGCACGGAGAAACUGAGGCACAGAGAGGUCACCCAGCUAGAGAAGGGCAGAGCCGAGAGUUCUAUCCAGGUUCCUCUGACUGCUUUCACCCACUAGGCUGCAUUACUUACCAUUGUACUCUUAUAUUACCCGAAAUGUGCUAUAGAGGGAGUCAGACAGGGUCCUGUGGGGCCCCAGAAGCUGCUUUCCACCCUCCAUAGCCACAGGGUGAGCCAGGAGGCUCUAGCUAGGGAGAGAGAAGUGUGUUUGCUAGAGAUGAAAGUUCAAGGAGCCAACCUGACUGAGCUGGGGGUAGCUCACAUUCUCCAUGAAAGAGGUGGGGGAGGGUGCUCUCAGCGCCUGGCUUGUUGUCCCCAGAGGGAAGCUGGUGUGGACAGAGGUGAAUCAGACACGGUCUCUCAGGCCCGUUUCUCUCAAUGCUUGGCCUGAACUGGACUGAAGAUGGUGACUGUCUGUCCAUGUCUGUCCUUCCCAUCAGCCUGGGGACUUACCUCCGUGUCCCCAGCAUUACCUAGCGCAGGGCCUGGCACCCUGGAGGCCUCAGGGUGGGCAAAACCAGGGUCACAAAGUUGACACUGAUACUGCCCCUGCCUGCUUAGGGAGUGGGCUGGGGAAGAGGGUACAGGAGCCAGACUUGAGCAUGAAAGUGUCAGUGAUGAUAGCAGCCAGCAUUUAGCGGGUACUUACGUGGCAGGCAUCGUUCCAAGUCCUUUGCAGAGAUUAACCCAUUCAGUCCUUUCAGUACCCUUUGUAUUAUUUAUUAUUUAUUUUUAUUUUUUGAGACGGAGUUUUGCUCUUUUUGCCCAGGCUGGAGUGCAAUGGCGGAGGUUGCAGUGAACCGAGAUCGUGCCACUGCACUCCAGCCUGGGUGACAGAGGGAGACUCCGUCUCACAAAAAAAAAAAAAAAAAAAAAAACCCAGGAGAGGCUGGGCAAUUUUGUAUUCAUUAUCUGGGAUUCAUUUUCUUAGAGAUGACCCCACAGGAUAGAAACUCCAGGCCCAGAAAACGUGUUUCCAUCUCGGGGCCCAACCCCGACCAGCCACACCCUCUCGUCUGGGAGCGCCUGGUGUUUCUUCAGGUUUUCCUCUUUGGGCUCCACGCACUUGCCCCUCCUGCUCUCAGCAAGGCCACCUUGUCUGACAGGGCACACGUGGGGCUCACAUGUCACCUCAGGGACGAGUUCUCUGUCUGCCCCCCGCCGAGUUAGUGAUCUGUCACUGGGGUGGCUCCCUGGCCUUGGCUGUCCUGCUUGCUGAGUGCCCUAGCACGUGCCCAGGGACUCGCUUGACAGAAAAGCCUAGAGGACAGAACCACACAAGUCCUUGAGCUGUGUCAGGGGUUCAGGAAGAGCUGUCGAAAAUCACUUUAUAAAAUCCCUCUUGGGCCGGGCGUGGUGGCUCACACCUGUAAUUCCAGCAUUUUGGGAGGCCGAGGUGGGCGGAUCACCUGAGGUCAGGAGUUCGAGACCAGCCUGGCCAACAUGACGAAACCCCAUCUCUACUAAAAAUAAAAAAAUUAGCCAGGCGUGGGCCGGGCGCGGUGGCCCACACGUGUAAUCUCAGCACUUUGGGAGGCUGAGGCGGGUGGAUCACAAGGUUAGGAGAUUGAGACCAUCCUGGCUAACACGGUGAGACCUUGUCUCUACUAAAAAUACAAAAAAUUAGCCAGGCGUGGUGGCAGGCGCCUGUAGUCCCAGCUACUGGGGAGGCUGAGGCAGGAGAAUCGCUUGAACCCAGAAGGUGGAGUUUGCAGUGAGCCAAGAUCAUACUACUGCACCCCAGCCUGGGCAACAGAACAAGACUCUGUAUCAAAAAGAAAGAGAAAGAGAGAGAGAGAGAGAGAGAGAAAGAGAGAAAGAAAAGAGAAGAGAAGAAAAUCCCUCUUGCCUGCAGUGGACAACAAAUAGGAAGACUGGCUCUCCUAACACCGUGGGCACACGUAGCCUCUUUCAGAGUCUCACAGUUCCCAAGACAGAUUUGGGGUUAGACCCGUGGUCCUGCCACUUCCAUGCUCAGUGGCCCUGGCCAAGGUACUUGGCCUCUCUGUGCCUCAGUUGCCUCAUCUGUAAAAUGAGAGGUAAUGGCAGUAACCAACCUCACAGGCUACUAGGAUGGUCAAACGAGUUAAUGCAUAUAAAACCCUUGACUCGUUGUCUGCAUGGGUCAGUGCUGCUUUU